GCCAUCCUUAAGCCCACCCAAACCCACAAACCAACCACCAACUUCACCUAAAACAUUAUAAUAGAUCAGUAAAUGUGAUUGAACAUCAACAUUCGACGCAAUAGAGAAAGUACUGCAAAGGAAAAACACUAAAUAUAACACCAGCACAACAUAGCAGAGAUAAACCCACAUACCUUUUGCAUCACCGUCUAGCAAGUACAAAGCAGACAAGAUGAAUCCAAGCCUGCCCCCCCGAAUGCAAGUGAGCUAUUUUUAAGCAGUCUAUAGGACGAACCCGUUUCUGUAGCAAAAGAAUGGGAUGACUUAAAAAUAGAGGUGACAAGCCUAACGAACUUGCCGAUAGCUGGUUGCCUGAUAAACGAAUUUAAGUUCGACCUUGGAUAUCAAACCAUUCUCCACUAAUGAACCCAAUAUCCAAGAGAUAGUCAACUGAGGCUCAGCUCAAUUGACAUGGGAUACAGCCCAAAAUAGAGAAAAAGCAUAAACACCCAACCAGUAGGCCUCAAAGCAGCCACCACAAAAUAUAACGUCACAGGAACAACCAAAAAAUACCAACAAUCAUAACAACUUCCUAUUACCACCCCAGGCCACUCUAUAUAACAAUAGAAGAAACGAUGCUAGAACUAGUAAUAAGAGACACUCUCUAGAACAAGACUUUAACACUCAUCAGACCAAAAAAGACCGAAUGACACAACCUUACUUAAUACAUGCAACCAACUGUAACCCCAACUCAGGAUUGUUCACAAGAAAGACCAACAACCUAAAAAGGAACUCGGCAAACCAUCUUUCCAACUGUUUAACAAAAACAUAGCCAUUAGCUAACCAAGUAUUAAAGGUACUGCCUGCCCAGUGAGGAACCCCCUUAAACGGCCGCGAUAACUCGUGCGAAGGUAGCGCAAUCACUUGUCCUUUAAAUAAGGACCUGUAUGAAUGGCCACAUGAGAAAGAAACUGUCUCUUUAGGUAGGUCAAUGAAACUGAUCUCCCUGUACAAAAGCAGGAAUAACAAAGUAAGACAAAAAGACCCUGUGAAACUUAAAAUAAACUGUCAACCCAUGACAAACACUUUUAGUUGGGGCAACUACAGAGAAACAAAACCUCAAACCAUAUCGUCAAGACAAACAAGUCUAAACGACCAUCCACACCGACCCAGUAUAACUGAUUAAAGAACCAAGCUACUCCAGGGAUAACAGCGCCACAUUCUUGAAGAGUUCAUAUCAACAAGAAUACCUACGACCUCGAUGUUGGAUCAGGAUAACCUAAUGGUGCAGAAGCUAUUAAGGGUUCGUUUGUUCAACGAUUAAUAAUCCUACGCGAUCUGAGUUCAGACCGGAGCAAUCCAGGUCGGUCUUUAUCUACUUAAACGCUCCAGCCAGUACGAAAGGACCACUGAAGCAAGGCCCAUUUUACAAAUACGCCUUAAUAUUACUAUGCUGCACAAAAAUCAAGCAUUAAAUAUAAAAAUACCACUACAAGAAAAGUAAUUCCCAAACAAACU
This 1497-nucleotide ribosomal RNA is filed under the name Chlamydosaurus kingii (frilled dragon). RNAcentral describes it as "16S ribosomal RNA". It matches the Rfam family "Bacterial large subunit ribosomal RNA", at positions 421 to 2836 of the family's 2925-position model. The record is from RNAcentral. Lineage: Eukaryota; Metazoa; Chordata; Lepidosauria; Squamata; Agamidae.